Molecule: ribosomal RNA, 429 nt
Filed under: uncultured bacterium
Lineage: Bacteria
Description: bacterial SSU rRNA
Rfam family: Bacterial small subunit ribosomal RNA
Source: RNAcentral
UGGGGAAUAUUGGACAAUGGGGGCAACCCUGAUCCAGCAACGCCGCGUGAAUGAAGAAGGUCUUAGGAUUGUAAAGUUCUUUUGUCUGGGAGCAAAUAUUAUAAGUUAAAAGCUAAUAUUAUUGAGAGUACCAGAAGAAUAAGCACCGGCUAACUACGUGCCAGCAGCCGCGGUAAUACGUAGGGUGCGAGCGUUAAUCGGAAUUACUGGGCGUAAAGAGUGCGUAGGCGGAUAUACAAGUUAGAUGUGAAAUACCUGGGCUCAACCUAGGAGGUGCAUUUAAGACUGUAUGUCUAGAGUUUGUGAGAGGGGGGUAGAAUUCCAAGUGUAGCAGUGAAAUGCGUAGAGAUUUGGAGGAAUACCGAUGGCGAAGGCAGCCCCCUGGGAUAAGACUGACGCUGUGGCACGAAAGCGUGGGUAGCAAACAGG